RNAcentral lists this ribosomal RNA (253 nucleotides) under uncultured bacterium. RNAcentral's name for it is "partial 16S ribosomal RNA". It matches the Rfam family "Bacterial small subunit ribosomal RNA", at positions 524 to 776 of the family's 1533-position model. The record is from RNAcentral.
UACAGAGGGUGCGAGCGUUAAUCGGAAUUACUGGGCGUAAAGGGCGCGUAGGUGGUUAUUUAAGUUAGUGGUGAAAAGCCUAGGCUCAACCUAGGUCUUGCCGCUAAGACUGGGUAACUAGAAUCUGGUAGAGGGAAGUGGAAUUUCCGGUGUAGCGGUGAAAUGCGUAGAUAUCGGAAGGAACAUCAGUGGCGAAGGCGACUUCCUGGACCAAGAUUGACACUGAGGCGCGAAGGCGUGGGUAGCGAACAGG